RNAcentral lists this ribosomal RNA (2376 nucleotides) under human gut metagenome. Its description in RNAcentral is "bacterial LSU rRNA". It matches the Rfam family "Bacterial large subunit ribosomal RNA", at positions 14 to 2411 of the family's 2925-position model. The record is from RNAcentral.
AGGGCGUAUGGGGAAUGCCUAGGCACACUCCGGCGAAGAAGGACGCAGCAAACAGCGAAAUGCGACGGUGAGCGGUAAGCACGUGAAGAGCCGUCGAUAUCCGAAUGGGGGAACCCACACGGAGUCAUAUCCGUGUAUCACAUGUCGAAUACAUAGACAUGAUGAGGCGAGACGCAGGGAACUGAAACAUCUAAGUACCUGCAGGAAGAGAAAAUAAGAAUGAUUUUCUGAGUAGCGGCGAGCGAAAGGGAAAGAGCCCAAACCGAUUUGAGGAUCGGGGUAGUAGGAUCAUCGAUAAAUCAAACAGAGGAUCAUAGAGGAAUCACAUGGGAAGGUGAGCGAGAGAGGGUGAGAGCCCCGUACUCGAAAUGAGAGACUGGAGAGAGAUGACACCUGAGUAGGGCGGGACACGAGAAAUCCUGUCUGAAUCAGCCGGGACCAUCCGGCAAGGCUAAAUACGAGAGAGUGACCGAUAGUGAACCAGUACCGUGAGGGAAAGGUGAAAAGAACCCCGGGAGGGGAGUGAAAGAGAACCUGAAACCAUAUGCCUACAAGAAGUCAGAGCCCGUUAAAGGGUGAUGGCGUGCCUUUUGUAGAAUGAACCGGCGAGUUACUGUAUGGAGCGAGGUUAAGCAGGAUAUGCGGAGCCGAAGCGAAAGCGAGUCUUAAGAGGGCGCGAGUUGCAUGCAGUAGACCCGAAACCGGGUGAUCUAGCCAUGACCAGGUUGAAGUUGGGGUAAAACCCGAUGGAGGACCGAACCGACCCCCGUUGAAACGUUGGCGGAUGAGUUGUGGCUAGGGGUGAAAUUCCAAUCGAACCCGGAGAUAGCUGGUUCUCCCCGAAAUAGCUUUAGGGCUAGCGUCGAGAGAAGAGUUGCGUGAAGGUAGAGCACUGAAUAUGUGAUGGCCCCAUCUCGGGGUACUGAGCAUAAUCAAACUGCGAAUGUCACGCCAACAUGCUCGGCAGUCAGACAGCGGGUGAUAAGGUCCGUUGUCAAGAGGGAAACAGCCCAGACCAUCAGCUAAGGUCCCAAAAUGUAUGCUAAGUGGAAAAGGAUGUGGAGAUGUACAGACAACUAGGAGGUUGGCUCAGAAGCAGCCAUCCUUUAAAGAGUGCGUAACAGCUCACUAGUCGAAUGACUCUGCGCCGAUAAUUUACCGGGGCUAAGCAUACUACCGAAGCUAUGGAUCCCAAGGGAUGGUAGGGGAGCGUUCCAUGAACGGAGAAGUACGACCGAAAGGACGUGUGGAGAUCAUGGAAGAGAGAAUGCCGGUGUGAGUAGCGGAACGUGGGUGAGAAUCCCACGCACCGAAAACCCAAGGUUUCCAGAGGAAGGUUCGUCCGCUCUGGGUAAGUCGGGACCUAAGGCGAGGCCGAAAGGCGUAGUCGAUGGACAACAGGUAGAGAUUCCUGUACCCGUAUAUAUGUGAAGGAAUGACGGAGAGAGGAAGCUGCAGCCAGCGGCUGGAAGAGCUGGUGCAAGCGAGAUAUCGGGAUGGCAGGCAAAUCCACCAUCCGAAACGAGAAGGCGUGAAGCGUACGGAAAGCUACGGCGAGUACGGAAGGCAGUGGAGGAACUUCCAAGAAAAGUUUCUAACGUUAAGUAUAUAUGGCCCGUACCGAAAAUGGACACACAUGGGUGAGGAGAGAAUCCUAAGGUGAGCGAGAGAACUAUAGCUAAGGAACUCUGCAAAAUGACUCCGUAACUUAGGGAGAAGGAGUGCUCAUAGAGAUAUGAGCCGCAGUGAAACGGCCCAAGCGACUGUUUACCAAAAACACAGCUCUCUGCUAAGCCGCAAGGCGAAGUAUAGGGGGUGACGCCUGCCCGGUGCUGGAAGGUUAAGGGGAGGGGUUAACGCAAGUGAAGCCCUGAACUGAAGCCCCAGUAAACGGCGGCCGUAACUAUAACGGUCCUAAGGUAGCGAAAUUCCUUGUCGGGUAAGUUCUGACCCGCACGAAAGGCGUAACGAUUUGGGCGCUGUCUCAGCUGUAGACUCGGUGAAGUCUUAGUACCUGUGAAGAUGCAGGUUACCCGCGACUAGACGGAAAGACCCCAUGGAGCUUCACUGCAGGUUGAUAUUGGGAUUUGAUGCAGCAUGUACAGGAUAGGUAGGAGGCAAAGAGAUGGAUACGCCAGUAUUCAAGGAGCCGCUGUUGGGAUACUACCCCUGUUGUAUUGGAUUUCUAACCGGACGACGUAGAGCCGUUGACGGGACAGUGUCAGUCGGGCAGUUUGACUGGGGCGGUCGCCUCCCAAAGAGUAACGGAGGCGCCCAAAGAUACCCUCAGCUUGGAUGGAAACCAAGCGCAGAGUGCAAAGGCAAAAGGGUGUUUGACUGCGAGACCCACAAGUCGAGCAGGGACGAAAGUCGGGC